This is a regulatory RNA element of Peptoniphilus sp. BV3C26, 113 nucleotides long. It matches the Rfam family "FMN riboswitch aptamer (RFN element)". Rfam says of the family: The RFN element is a highly conserved domain that is found frequently in the 5'-untranslated regions of prokaryotic mRNAs that encode for flavin mononucleotide (FMN) biosynthesis and transport proteins. This element is a metabolite-dependent riboswitch that directly binds FMN in the absence of proteins. The record is from Rfam. Lineage: Bacteria; Bacillati; Bacillota; Tissierellia; Tissierellales; Peptoniphilaceae.
ACUUAUCUUCAGGGCGAGGUGUAAAUCCUCACCGGCGGUUAUAGUCCGCGAGUUUUAACUGAAUCGGUGAAAUUCCGAUACCGACGGUAUAGUCCGGAUGAAAGAAGAUUUUU